GAUGAACGCUGGCGGCGUGCCUAAUACAUGCAAGUCGAGCGAACAGACGAGGAGCUUGCUCCUCUGACGUUAGCGGCGGACGGGUGAGUAACACGUGGAUAACCUACCUAUAAGACUGGGAUAACUUCGGGAAACCGGAGCUAAUACCGGAUAAUAUAUUGAACCGCAUGGUUCAAUAGUGAAAGACGGUUUUGCUGUCACUUAUAGAUGGAUCCGCGCCGCAUUAGCUAGUUGGUAAGGUAACGGCUUACCAAGGCAACGAUGCGUAGCCGACCUGAGAGGGUGAUCGGCCACACUGAAACUGAGACACGGUCCAGACUCCAACGGGAGGCAGCAGUAGGGAAUUUUCCGCAAUGGGCGAAAGCCGGACGGAGCAACGCCGCGUGAGUGAUGAAGGUCUUCGGAUCGUAAACCUCUGUUAUUAGGGAAGAACAAAUGUGAAAGUAACUAUGCACGUCUUGACGGUACCAAAUCAAAAAGCCACGGCUAACUACGU
RNAcentral lists this ribosomal RNA (496 nucleotides) under uncultured bacterium. RNAcentral's name for it is "partial 16S ribosomal RNA". It matches the Rfam family "Bacterial small subunit ribosomal RNA", at positions 28 to 506 of the family's 1533-position model. The record is from RNAcentral.